UGCGUAGGCGGACUAAUAAGUCAGUGGUGAAAUCUUUCGGCUCAACCGAGAAACUGCCAUUUAUACUGUUAGUCUUGAGUUCGGUUGAGGUAGGCGGAAUGUGUAAUGUAGCGGUGAAAUGCUUAGAUAUUACACAGAACACCAAUUGCGUAGGCAGCUUACUAGACCGACACUGACGCUGAGGCACGAAAGCGUGGGGAGCGAACAGGAUUAGAUACCCUGGUAGUCC
Molecule: ribosomal RNA, 229 nt
Filed under: uncultured bacterium
Lineage: Bacteria
Description: partial 16S ribosomal RNA
Rfam family: Bacterial small subunit ribosomal RNA
Source: RNAcentral